GAAUCUAGCUUCAGGUCGGGGACAACCACUGGAAACGGUGGCUAAUACCGGAUGUGCCGGAAGGUAAAAGGCUUGCUGCCUGAAGAUGAGCUCGCGUCUGAUUAGCUAGUAGGUGGGGUAAGAGCCUACCUAGGCGACGAUCAGUAGCUGGUCUGAGAGGAUGAUCAGCCACACUGGGACUGAGACACGGCCCAGACUCCUACGGGAGGCAGCAGUGGGGAAUUUUCCGCAAUGGGCGAAAGCCUGACGGAGCAAUACCGCGUGAGGGAGGAAGGCUCUUGGGUUGUAAACCUCUUUUCUCAGGGAAGAACACAAUGACGGUACCUGAGGAAUCAGCAUCGGCUAACUCCGUGCCAGCAGCCGCGGUAAUACGGAGGAUGCAAGCGUUAUCCGGAAUGAUUGGGCGUAAAGCGUCCGCAGGUGGCAAUGUAAGUCUGCUGUUAAAGAGUGAGGCUCAACCUCAUAAAAGCAGUGGAAACUACAUAGCUAGAGUGCGUUCGGGGCAGAGGGAAUUCCUGGUGUAGCGGUGAAAUGCGUAGAUAUCAGGAAGAACACCGGUGGCGAAAGCGCUCUGCUAGGCCGCAACU
This 587-nucleotide ribosomal RNA is filed under the name Nostoc sp. B1.7SOIL. Its description in RNAcentral is "bacterial SSU rRNA". It matches the Rfam family "Bacterial small subunit ribosomal RNA", at positions 122 to 741 of the family's 1533-position model. The record is from RNAcentral. Lineage: Bacteria; Bacillati; Cyanobacteriota; Cyanophyceae; Nostocales; Nostocaceae.